Molecule: long non-coding RNA, 432 nt
Filed under: Salvia miltiorrhiza (redroot sage)
Lineage: Eukaryota; Viridiplantae; Streptophyta; Magnoliopsida; Lamiales; Lamiaceae
Description: long non-coding RNA (SMIL_LNC010489)
Source: RNAcentral
UCCUAUUUCCUAUCUCUUUAACUUACAAACCUUCUUAUCCUAUUCAUAUCUCUUUAAAUUACUAACUGCAAAAGGAAGAAAGAAAGAAAAAGGGGAAAGGACGUGUGGGUAUGCUGGAGCAGCAGCUCCCACCCCUAUCUCUGCAUUCUUCUCCCUAGCACACUCAAGUGUGCAGUCCAGCUACCUUCUCUAUGGCUGCCCCCAUCCCAUCUAAUCCCAUACAUCAGCCACCCUACUGCCAUCAAUCUCGUAGAUUACUCAAGUGCAGCUGCCACUACACUUUUUCAAAUCAGUUUAUCAGCAGCAACCUUCUCAUUUUAUUCCCUUCCCACACUUGGAAGCUUUUAGAGGAGCAGAAAUCUCCAUCCAGUGUCCUGCCAACUUCAAGGUAAGCUUUGGCUUAAACUUCUCCAUCUUCUUCCAUGAUUCUAC